AAGGAUCAUUAGUGAAUAUAGGACGUCCAACUUAACUUGGAGUCCGAACUCUCACUUUCUAACCCUGUGCACUUGUUUGGGAUAGUAACUCUCGCAAGAGAGCGAACUCCUAUUCACUUAUAAACACAAAGUCUAUGAAUGUAUUAAAUUUUAUAACAAAAUAAAACUUUCAACAACGGAUCUCUUGGCUCUCGCAUCGAUGAAGAACGCAGCGAAAUGCGAUAAGUAAUGUGAAUUGCAGAAUUCAGUGAAUCAUCGAAUCUUUGAACGCACCUUGCGCUCCAUGGUAUUCCGUGGAGCAUGCCUGUUUGAGUGUCAUGAAUACUUCAACCCUCCUCUUUCUUAAUGAUUGAAGAGGUGUUUGGUUUCUGAGCGCUGCUGGCCUUUACGGUCUAGCUCGUUCGUAAUGCAUUAGCAUCCGCAAUCGAAUUUCGGAUUGACUUGGCGUAAUAGACUAUUCGCUGAGGAAUUCUAGUCUUCGGAUUAGAGCCGGGUUGGGUUAAAGGAAGCUUCUAAUCAGAAUGUCUACAUUUUAAGAUUAGAUCUCAAAUCAGGUAGGACUACCCGCUGAACUUAA
RNAcentral lists this ribosomal RNA (577 nucleotides) under Rhodotorula mucilaginosa. Its description in RNAcentral is "eukaryotic LSU rRNA". The stretch from base 165 to 318 matches the Rfam family "5.8S ribosomal RNA". Lineage: Eukaryota; Fungi; Basidiomycota; Microbotryomycetes; Sporidiobolales; Sporidiobolaceae. The record is from RNAcentral.